Hemicordylus capensis (graceful crag lizard) is the source of this 1247-nucleotide long non-coding RNA. RefSeq lists it as uncharacterized. The transcript is spliced from 3 exons. NCBI's taxonomy places the organism in Eukaryota, Metazoa, Chordata, Lepidosauria, Squamata, Cordylidae. The record is from RefSeq and is a predicted model, not a curated record.
CUGACCGGAAGUGCUUUAGCUAUACAUCAUCUCACCUUCCUGCGGCUUCUCUAGGAAUGUAAACUUGCUAAGAUUAACCCUUAACAAGGUAAAACAAUGAGGGAUCUUGUGGCACUUGCGAGACUAACCCAUUUGCUGUACCAGAGAACAACAAAUUGCCUUCGCACAAAUCAUUAAGAACAGAUACUGAUUUGGCAAGCUAGCUGACUGGGGAAAACAUAAGACGAUUUAGCAGCCAGGAAUAUUAAAAGCAAGCCGAAAAAUAGUAAAAGAUACGGUAAUACAUAUUCUUGUAAUGAAAUGGGAUGGGGCUGCUGUAGUUGGGGCUGCUGUAGUGGUAGAAGAGCACCUGCUGCUUUGCAUGCAGAAGGUCCCAGGUUCAAUCCCUGGCAUUUCCAGGUAGGGCUGGGGAAGAAUCCUGCCUGAAACCUUGGAGAGCUGCUGCCAAGUCAGUGCAGACAUAGGAAGCUGCCAUAUUCUGAGUCAGACCCUUGGUCUAUCUAGCUCAGUAUUGUCUUCACAGACUGGCAGCGGCUUCUCCAAGGUUGCAGGCAGGAAUUUCUCUCAGCCCUGUCUUGGAGAUGCUGCCAGGGAGGGAACUCGGAAUCUUCUGCUCUUCCCAGAGUGGCUCCAUCCCCUGAGGGGAAUAUCUUACAGUGCUCACACUUCUAGUCUCCCAUUCAUAUGCAACCAGGGUGGACCCUGCUUGCAUGCUUGCUACCACAAGACCACAAGGACCAAAGUCAUGCUUGCUACUACAAGACCAGCUCUCCUCUCCCAUAAAGACACAGCAGAAGGGCUUGGCUCCAGAGGAUGGAAUUCAAGAGUACGCUAGUGAGGUGGUGACUGCAAGUGGAAGGCUCUCUGGCACUGCUACAACCAAAAUUGUAUCCAAGGAUAAAGGAUUUCACAAUAUAUAGUAGUUAUAGUGUUGUACAUGCUUAUGAAUCCCAACAUUUAUAAUUUAAAAAUUGGCUAUAAGGACAACUGUGAGUAUAGACAUUGCCAGCCCUGCUUUGCCAAUCAGAACUGCUAAUCUGGUAAAUUUUGCUUGUAGAAAGGGUUUUUCCUUUCUGUGUGGAAUAUUUUGGUUUUUCUUCUUCAUUUGUUUUUAUCUUUGCAUCUUCAUGUACCUUUUCAGUAUCUACAGAGUGAGUCUAGAGAUGAUUUGUCUCUAGAUUUUUGUGUGAUCGCUUGUUGUUUUCUCACCGGUCUUCCCAACUCCAAGUAAACUGAGGAUAAUUCCU